This 253-nucleotide ribosomal RNA is filed under the name uncultured bacterium. RNAcentral describes it as "partial 16S ribosomal RNA". It matches the Rfam family "Bacterial small subunit ribosomal RNA", at positions 524 to 776 of the family's 1533-position model. The record is from RNAcentral.
UACGGAGGAUGCGAGCGUUAUCCGGAAUGAUUGGGCGUAAAGCGUCCGCAGGUGGCUGUGUAAGUCUGCUGUCAAAGAGCGAAGCUCAACUUCGUAAAGGCAGUGGAAACUACACGGCUAGAGUGCGUUCGGGGCAGAGGGAAUUCCUGGUGUAGCGGUGAAAUGCGUAGAGAUCAGGAAGAACACCGGUGGCGAAGGCGCUCUGCUAGGCCGCAACUGACACUGAGGGACGAAAGCUAGGGGAGCGAAUGGG